AGGUGGGAUGGAGAUGAUUGAGGUCCAGGUGGGAUGGAUGAUGAUUGAGGUCCAGGUGGGAUGGAUGAUGAUUGAGGUCCAGGUGGGAUGGAGAUGGUUGAGGUCCAGGUGGGAUGGAGAUGAUUGAGGUCCAGGUGGGAUGGAUGAUGGUUGAGGUCCAGGUGGGAUGGAGAUGAUUGAGGUCCAGGUGGGAUGGAGAUGAUUGAGGUCCAGGUGGGAUGGAGAUGGUUGAGGUCCAGGUGGGAUGGAGAUGAUUGAGGUCCAGGUGGGAUGGAGAUGAUUGAGGUCCAUGUGGGAUGGAGAUGAUUGAGGUCCAGGUGGGAUGGAUGAUGGAGAUGAUUGAGGUCCAGGUGGGAUGGAGAUGGUUGAGGUCCAUGUGGGAUGGAGAUGGUUGAGGUCCAGGUGGGAUGGAGAUGGUUGAGGUCCAGGUGGGAUGGAGAUGAUUGAGGUCCAGGUGGGAUGGAGAUGGUUGAGGUCCAUGUGGGAUGGAGAUGGUUGAGGUCCAUGUGGGAUGGAGAUGGUUGAGGUCCAGGUGGGAUGGAGAUGGUUGAGGUCCAGGUGGGAUGGAGAUGAUUGAGGUCCAGGUGGGAUGGAGAUGGUUGAGGUCCAGGUGGGAUGGAGAUGAUUGAGGUCCAGGUGGGAUGGAGAUGGUUGAGGUCCAGGUGGGAUGGAGAUGAUUGAGGUCCAGGUGGGAUGGAGAUGAUUGAGGUCCAUGUGGGAUGGAGAUGAUUGAGGUCCAGGUGGGAUGGAUGAUGGAGAUGAUUGAGGUCCAGGUGGGAUGGAGAUGGUUGAGGUCCAUGUGGGAUGGAGAUGGUUGAGGUCCAGGUGGGAUGGAGAUGGUUGAGGUCCAGGUGGGAUGGAGAUGAUUGAGGUCCAGGUGGGAUGGAGAUGAUUGAGGUCCAUGUGGGAUGGAGAUGGUUGAGGUCCAGGUGGGAUGGAGAUGGUUGAGGUCCAGGUGGGAUGGAGAUGAUUGAGGUCCAUGUGGGAUGAAUAUGGUUGAGGUCCAGGUGGGAUGGAGAUGGUUGAGGUCCAUGUGGGAUGGAGAUGGUUGAGGUCCAGGUGGGAUGGAUGAUGGUUGAGGUCCAUGUGGGAUGGAGAUGGUUGAGGUCCAGGUGGGAUGGAUGAUGAUUGAGGUCCAGGUGGGAUGGAGAUGGUUGAGGUCCAUGUGGGAUGGAGAUGGUUGAGGUCCAGGUGGGAUGGAGAUGGUUGAGGUCCAGGUGGGAUGGAGAUGAUUGAGGUCCAUGUGGGAUGGAGAUGGUUGAGGUCCAGGUGGGAUGGAGAUGAUUGAGGUCCAGGUGGGAUGGAGAUGGUUGAGGUCCAGGUGGGAUGGAUGACCUUCAUGGUUCAGGUCCAGUUUAUCUUGUGGGUUGGUAAAAACAUCUGAGGUGUGUUUCUACAGGAGGAGCCUGUUUCAGGAACCAGGAUGUAAUCAGAUUACCGAGCAGAGACCAGAACACGACCCGGGUUCUGAUAUUACCAGAACCAUCAUGGUGGAACUUGCUGGAGGCUUUCAGGCUUUGUGUUUGGGUCAUCUGUGGGUUAUAACACAGCAUCUAGCUGGUCAGGACCAGAACUUCUGGUCAGGUUCUGGUCCUGUCCAGAACUUCUGGUCCUGUCUGUAAACCUGUGUCUCAGUGGCGGGUGGUUCCUCUGGUUCUGGUCCAGAUGCGGUCCUGACUAGUUUUGUGGAAGGUUCUGGGGAAGGUUGGUUAGGCCCGGUUCUGUUCCAGGUUCUGUUGCUUUAGUGGACCUCUGACUGAAGGUGGACCUUCAUGCUCUGAUGGCUCUUUCUGUGCAUCACGUCUCUUCCUGCUCUCCUCACCUGCUUCUCUGCUCCACCUUCAUCUCCACGCUGCUCUUCAUCACUGCUCCUCCUCCUCCUCCUCUGCCGGCGCCGCUCUG
Molecule: long non-coding RNA, 1902 nt
Organism: Fundulus heteroclitus (mummichog)
Lineage: Eukaryota; Metazoa; Chordata; Actinopteri; Cyprinodontiformes; Fundulidae
Exons: 8
Source: RefSeq, a predicted model, not a curated record